Unclassified non-coding RNA from Bison bison bison, 75 nucleotides. NCBI's taxonomy places the organism in Eukaryota, Metazoa, Chordata, Mammalia, Artiodactyla, Bovidae. The record is from Ensembl.
AGAAUCCAUGUGGGGUCGGCCGGCUCCGGAGCUGCGCGUGGUGGACACACAAAACCAAACGCCCAAGUUGGAAAA